This 497-nucleotide ribosomal RNA is filed under the name uncultured bacterium. RNAcentral describes it as "partial 16S ribosomal RNA". It matches the Rfam family "Bacterial small subunit ribosomal RNA", at positions 28 to 507 of the family's 1533-position model. The record is from RNAcentral.
GAUGAACGCUGGCGGCGUGCCUAAUACAUGCAAGUCGAGCGAACAGACGAGGAGCUUGCUCCUCUGACGUUAGCGGCGGACGGGUGAGUAACACGUGGAUAACCUACCUAUAAGACUGGGAUAACUUCGGGAAACCGGAGCUAAUACCGGAUAAUAUAUUGAACCGCAUGGUUCAAUAGUGAAAGACGGUUUUGCUGUCACUUAUAGAUGGAUCCGCGCCGCAUUAGCUAGUUGGUAAGGUAACGGCUUACCAAGGCAACGAUGCGUAGCCGACCUGAGAGGGUGAUCGGCCACACUGGAACUGAGACACGGUCCAGACUCCUACGGGAGGCAGCAGUAGGGAAUCUUCCGCAAUGGGCGAAAGCCUGACGGAGCAACGCCGCGUGAGUGAUGAAGGUCUUCGGAUCGUAAAACUCUGUUAUUAGGGAAGAACAAAUGUGUAAGUAACUAUGCACGUCCUGACGGUAUCUAAUCAGAAAGCCACGGCUAACUACGUG